AUUGAACGCUGGCGGCAGGCUUAACACAUGCAAGUCGAGCGGAGAUGAGGUGCUUGCACCUUAUCUUAGCGGCGGACGGGUGAGUAAUGCUUAGGAAUCUGCCAUUUAGUGGGGGACAACAUUCCGAAAGGAAUGCUAAUACCGCAUACGUCCUACGGGAGAAAGCAGGGGAUCUUCGGACCUUGCGCUAAAUGAUGAGCCUAAGUCGGAUUAGCUAGUUGGUGGGGUAAAGGCCUACCAAGGCGACGAUCUGUAGCGGGUCUGAGAGGAUGAUCCGCCACACUGGGACUGAGACACGGCCCAGACUCCUACGGGAGGCAGCAGUGGGGAAUAUUGGACAAUGGGCGGAAGCCUGAUCCAGCCAUGCCGCGUGUGUGAAGAAGGCCUUUGGUUGUAAAGCACUUUAAGCGAGGAGGAGGCUCUCCUAGUUAAUACCUAGGAUGAGUGGACGUUACUCGCAGAAUAAGCACCGGCUAACUCUGUG
This 484-nucleotide ribosomal RNA is filed under the name uncultured bacterium. RNAcentral's name for it is "bacterial SSU rRNA". It matches the Rfam family "Bacterial small subunit ribosomal RNA", at positions 30 to 507 of the family's 1533-position model. The record is from RNAcentral.